GACGGAGGAUGCAAGCGUUAUCCGGAAUGAUUGGGCGUAAAGCGUCCGCAGGUGGCAGUUCAAGUCUGCUGUCAAAGACCGGGGCUUAACUUCGGAAAGGCAGUGGAAACUGAACAGCUAGAGUAUGGUAGGGGCAGAGGGAAUUCCUGGUGUAGCGGUGAAAUGCGUAGAGAUCAGGAAGAACACCAACGGCGAAGGCAGCUCGCUGGGACGGUACUGACGCUGAGACGCGAAAGCGUGGGGAGCGAACAGG
Molecule: ribosomal RNA, 253 nt
Filed under: uncultured bacterium
Lineage: Bacteria
Description: partial 16S ribosomal RNA
Rfam family: Bacterial small subunit ribosomal RNA
Source: RNAcentral